CAAUAGCGUAUAUUUAAGUUGUUGCAGUUAAAAAGCUCGUAGUUGGAUUUCGGGUGGGACGCAGCGGUCCCGCAUUGCGUUUGUACUGCUGCAGCCCUCCUUCUUGCCGGGGGCGGCCUCUCGGACUUCACUGUCUGGGGGUCAGAAUCGGCGAUGUUACUUUGAGUAAAUUAGAGUGUUCAAAGCAAGCUUACGCUCUGAAUAUAAUAGCAUGGGAUAACACGACAGGACUCUGGCCUAUCGUGUUGGUCUAUAGGACCAGAGUAAUGAUUAAGAGGGACAGUCGGGGGCAUUCGUAUUCCGUUGUCAGAGGUGAAAUUCUUGGAUUUACGGAAGACGAACAUCUGCGAAAGCAUUUGCCAAGGAUGUUUUCAUUGA
RNAcentral lists this ribosomal RNA (378 nucleotides) under uncultured eukaryote. RNAcentral's name for it is "partial 18S ribosomal RNA". It matches the Rfam family "Eukaryotic small subunit ribosomal RNA", at positions 592 to 976 of the family's 1831-position model. The record is from RNAcentral.